Molecule: ribosomal RNA, 252 nt
Filed under: uncultured bacterium
Lineage: Bacteria
Description: partial 16S ribosomal RNA
Rfam family: Bacterial small subunit ribosomal RNA
Source: RNAcentral
UACGGAGGAUGCGAGCGUUAUCCGGAUUUAUUGGGUUUAAAGGGUGCGUAGGCGGUUGGUUAAGUCAGCGGUAAAAGCCCGGAGCUCAACUCCGGCGAGCCGUUGAAACUGGCUGACUUGAGAGAGUGAGAGGCAUGCGGAAUGCGCGGUGUAGCGGUGAAAUGCAUAGAUAUCGCGCAGAACUCCGAUUGCGAAGGCAGCAUGCCGGCGCUUAUCUGACGCUGAGGCACGAAAGCGUGGGGAUCAAACAGG